RNAcentral lists this ribosomal RNA (804 nucleotides) under Metamycoplasma hominis. Its description in RNAcentral is "bacterial SSU rRNA". It matches the Rfam family "Bacterial small subunit ribosomal RNA", at positions 346 to 1155 of the family's 1533-position model. The record is from RNAcentral. Lineage: Bacteria; Bacillati; Mycoplasmatota; Mycoplasmoidales; Metamycoplasmataceae.
AGGCAGCAGUAGGGAAUAUUCCACAAUGAGCGAAAGCUUGAUGGAGCGACACAGCGUGCACGAUGAAGGUCUUCGGAUUGUAAAGUGCUGUUAUAAGGGAAGAACAUUUGCAAUAGGAACUGAUUCGCAGACUGACGGUACCUUGUCAGAAAGCGAUGGCUAACUAUGUGCCAGCAGCCGCGGUAAUACAUAGGUCGCAAGCGUUAUCCGGAAUUAUUGGGCGUAAAGCGUUCGUAGGCUGUUUGUUAAGUCUGGAGUUAAAUCCCGGGGCUCAACCCCGGCUCGCUUUGGAUACUAGCAAACUAGAGUUAGAUAGAGGUAAGCUGGAAUUCCAUGUGAAGCGGUGAAAUGCGUAGAUAUAUGGAAGAACACCAAAGGCGAAGGCAGCUUACUGGGUCUAUACUGACGCUGAGGGACGAAAGCGUGGGGAGCAAACAGGAUUAGAUACCCUGGUAGUCCACGCCGUAAACGAUGAUCAUUAGUCGGUGGAGAAUCACUGACGCAGCUAACGCAUUAAAUGAUCCGCCUGAGUAGUAUGCUCGCAAGAGUGAAACUUAAAGGAAUUUGACGGGGACCCGCACAAGCGGUGGAGCAUGUGGUUUAAUUUGAAGAUACACGGAAAACCUUACCCACUCUUGACAUCCUUCGCAAAGCUAUAGAGAUAUAGUGGAGGUUAUCGGAGUGACAGAUGGUGCAUGGUUGUCGUCAGCUCGUGUCGUGAGAUGUUUGGUCAAGUCCUGCAACGAGCGCAACCCCUAUCUUUAGUUACUAACAUUAAGUUGAGGACUCUAGAGAUACUGCCUG